GUGAGGAAUUUUCCGCAAUGGGCGAAAGCCUGACGGAGCAAUGCCGCGUGAAGGAUGAAGGCCUAUGGGUUGUAAACUUCUUUUCUCAGAAAAGAAUUAUGACGGUAUCUGAGGAAUAAGCAUCGGCUAACUCUGUGCCAGCAGCCGCGGUAAGACAGAGGAUGCAAGCGUUAUCCGGAAUGAUUGGGCGUAAAGCGUCUGUAGGUUGUUUAAAAAGUAUUCUGUCAAAGAUUAGGGCUUAACCCUAGAUAGGCAGAAUAAACUUUUAAGCUAGAGUUUGGUAGAGGCAGGGGGAAUUCCCGGUGGAGCGGUGAAAUGCGUAGAUAUCGGGAGGAACACCAAAGGCGAAGGCACUCUGCUGGGCCAAUACUAACACUGAGAGACGAAAGCGAGGGGAGCAAAUGGGAUUAGAUACCCUAGUAGUCC
RNAcentral lists this ribosomal RNA (426 nucleotides) under uncultured bacterium. RNAcentral describes it as "bacterial SSU rRNA". It matches the Rfam family "Bacterial small subunit ribosomal RNA", at positions 354 to 796 of the family's 1533-position model. The record is from RNAcentral.